Molecule: ribosomal RNA, 254 nt
Filed under: uncultured bacterium
Lineage: Bacteria
Description: partial 16S ribosomal RNA
Rfam family: Bacterial small subunit ribosomal RNA
Source: RNAcentral
UACGGAGGAUCCAAGCGUUAUCCGGAAUCAUUGGGUUUAAAGGGUCCGUAGGCGGUUUAAUAAGUCAGUGGUGAAAGCCCAUCGCUCAACGGUGGAACGGCCAUUGAUACUGUUAAACUUGAAUUAUUAGGAAGUAACUAGAAUAUGUAGUGUAGCGGUGAAAUGCUUAGAAGAUUACAUGGAAUACCAAUUGCGAAGGCAGGUUACUACUAAUGGAUUGACGCUGAUGGACGAAAGCGUGGGUAGCGAACAGG